GAUGAAGAACGUAGCGAAAUGCGAUAAGUAAUGUGAAUUGCAGAAUUCAGUGAAUCAUCGAAUCUUUGAACGCACAUUGCGCCCGCCAGUAUUCUGGCGGGCAUGCCUGUUCGAGCGUCAUUUCAACCAUCAAGCCCCAGGCUUGUGUUGGGGACCUGCGGCUGCCGCAGGCCCUGAAAACCAGUGGCGGGCUCGCUGUCACACCGGGCGUAGUAGAUUUUAUCUCGCUCAGGGCGUGCUGCGGGUUCCGGCCGUUAAAAAGCCUUUUUUACCCAAGGUUGACCUCGGAUCAGGUAGGAAGACCCGCUGAGCUUAAGCAUAUCAAUAAGCGGAGGA
RNAcentral lists this unclassified non-coding RNA (336 nucleotides) under soil metagenome. RNAcentral's name for it is "partial contains 5.8S ribosomal RNA, internal transcribed spacer 2, and large subunit ribosomal RNA". The stretch from base 1 to 120 matches the Rfam family "5.8S ribosomal RNA", at positions 35 to 154 of the family's 154-position model. The record is from RNAcentral.